This 230-nucleotide unclassified non-coding RNA is filed under the name plant metagenome. RNAcentral describes it as "partial contains small subunit ribosomal RNA, internal transcribed spacer 1, and 5.8S ribosomal RNA". The record is from RNAcentral.
UUUCCGUAGGUGAACCUGCGGAAGGAUCAUUAAAGAGAAUAUGCCCUUCGGGGUAGAUCUCCCACCCUUUGUUUAUAUUACCUUUGUUGCUUUGGCGGGCCGUUAGGCUCCGGCCCGACUACCGGCCCCGGCUGGUAAGCGCCCGCCAGAGGACCCAAAACCCUGAAUAUUAGUGUCGUCUGAGUACUAUAUAAUAGUUAAAACUUUCAACAACGGAUCUCUUGGUUCUG